GCCUUCAUGGUGCAGUGGGGUCAGCACGCUGGGUGCGUAUUCCAGAGGUCCGGGUUCGAGUCCCGGCGAGGGCA
Molecule: transfer RNA, 74 nt
Filed under: Stegodyphus mimosarum
Lineage: Eukaryota; Metazoa; Arthropoda; Arachnida; Araneae; Eresidae
Rfam family: tRNA
About the family: Transfer RNA (tRNA) molecules are approximately 80 nucleotides in length. Their secondary structure includes four short double-helical elements and three loops (D, anti-codon, and T loops). Further hydrogen bonds mediate the characteristic L-shaped molecular structure. tRNAs have two regions of fundamental functional importance: the anti-codon, which is responsible for specific mRNA codon recognition, and the 3' end, to which the tRNAs corresponding amino acid is attached (by aminoacyl-tRNA synthetases). tRNAs cope with the degeneracy of the genetic code in two manners: having more than one tRNA (with a specific anti-codon) for a particular amino acid; and 'wobble' base-pairing, i.e. permitting non-standard base-pairing at the 3rd anti-codon position.
Source: Rfam by way of RNAcentral